CUACGGGCCGCAGCAGUGGGGAAUAUUGGACAAUGGGCGCAAGCCUGAUCCAGCAAUACCGCGUGUGUGAAGAAGGCCUGCGGGUUGUAAAGCACUUUCAAUUGUGAAGAAAAGCCUGGGGUUAAUACCCUCGGGUCUUGACGUUAACUUUAGAAGAAGCACCGGCUAACUCCGUGCCAGCAGCCGCGGUAAUACGGAGGGUGCGAGCGUUAAUCGGAAUUACUGGGCGUAAAGCGUGCGUAGGCGGCUAGGUCAGUCAGAUGUGAAAGCCCCGGGCUUAACCUGGGAACUGCAUUUGAUACUGCCUGGCUAGAGUAUGGUAGAGGGAAGUGGAAUUCCGGGUGUAGCGGUGAAAUGCGUAGAUAUCCGGAGGAACACCAGUGGCGAAGGCGACUUCCUGGACCAAUACUGACGCUGAGGUACGAAAGCGUGGGUAGCAAACAGGAUUAGAUACCCCGGUAGUC
Molecule: ribosomal RNA, 464 nt
Filed under: uncultured bacterium
Lineage: Bacteria
Description: partial 16S ribosomal RNA
Rfam family: Bacterial small subunit ribosomal RNA
Source: RNAcentral